Thermoplasmatales archaeon SCGC AB-539-N05 is the source of this 2927-nucleotide ribosomal RNA. It matches the Rfam family "Archaeal large subunit ribosomal RNA". The record is from Rfam. Lineage: Archaea; Methanobacteriati; Thermoplasmatota; Thermoplasmata; Thermoplasmatales.
UGAGUUAGUAAGUUAAGCUAUUUGGUGGAUUGCUCGGCUCGAGUGCUGAUGAAGGUCGUGCCAAGCCGCGAUAUUACUCUGGGUAGGCGCAAGGAGCCUAUGAUCCGGAGAUUACCGAAUGGGACUUCCUGCCGCUUUGGCGGCAUUCACAUUAGUGAAUAGGAACCUGCCGAAUUGAAACAUCUUAGUAGGCAGAGGAAAAGAAAUCAAUUGAGAUUGGGUUAUUAAAGGCGAUCGAACGCCCAAAAGAGCAAAACGAAUCUCAUGGCGAAGAGUCAUGAGAGAUGUGUAGUUUUGGACUCAUUUACUCCCUAGUUGGCUAACUUGAGGUUCCCUGGAAUGGGGCGCCAUAGAGGGUGAUAGCCCCGUAAAGGUAAACCAACGGGAGAUUUUUGAGUAUCCUGAGUAGCGUGCGUUGGAUAUCGCGCGUGAAUUUGGGAGGCACAAACUUCCAACUCUAAAUACAUCUCGAGACCGAUAGUGUAAUAGUAGCGUGAGUGAACGUUGCAAAGUACCCUUAGCGGGAGGUGCAAAGAGCAUGAAACUAAAUAGUUACAGACGGAUAAGGCAUGAAAGCGACGAAGCUACUUAGGUAGUGGAGCAGUGUUUUAUCGUGCGUUUCGAAAAAUGGGCCAGGGAGUUCUUUGUAAUGGCGAGGUUAAGGAGUUUUCUCUCUGAAACCGUAGUGAAAGCAAUUGCCCGCAGGUAACAAGGGGCAAGGCGUGCUCGCCUGUAGUCAUUACAUAGAGACCCGAAACCAGUCGAUCUAUGCAUGGCUAGGCUGAAGCCCUAUGAAAGUGGGGUGGAGGGCCGAACCGGUGCUGAUGUGCAAAUCGCUCGGAUGAGCUGUGUAUAGGGGCAAAAGACCAAUCUAGACUGGCGAUAGCUGGUUCCUCCCGAGACUACUCGUAGGUAGAUCUCUGAUGAGAUCGGUUGUGAGGUAGAGCACUAAUUAGGUGUUUAGGGGAGGAAACUCCUCGACAUCUUGUUAAACUCCGAAUUUGCAACCAUCGUAGAUUCAGGGUAGUGAGGGCAUCUGGGGUAAGCUUGGUGUCCGAAAGGGAAACAACCCAGCCUUGUGUUAAGGUCCCAAAGUAUCAGCUAAGUGUUAUAGAACAAAGAGAGUCUGUAACCUCAGACAACCAGGAGGUUGGCUUAGAAGCAGCCAUCCUUUAAAGAAAGCGUAACAGCUCACUGGUCGAGGUUGUGGGCCUUGAAAAUGGACGGGGCUCAAGCUGAUCACCGAUACAUAAGCACUCCGAAAGGAGAUUGAGUAGGGAGGCGUCGUGCGUGGGUGGAAGUUUGGCCGUGAGGUCAAGUGGACCGCGUACGAACGAGAAUCCUGGCAAAAGUAGCAGCAUAGUAAAGUGAGAAUCUUUACCACCGAAGGGGCUAGGGUUCCUCGACGAUGUUCAUCAGUCGAGGGUUAGUCGGUCCUAAGGCAAUCCUUAACUGAGGUUGUCGAAUGGGAAACAGGUUAAUAUUCCUGUACUUUGUAGACAUUUGUCCAAUCUUUGACGCAUUCGGGUAGACUUAGCAGGUUUGUCUAUCUGUCCAAGCGUAUUAAAUUGGGGGAGAACCGUAAUGGUGAGAACCCGAUCAAAGCGUGAUGGAUCCGCCGUUUUUAGGUGGAUUAGGUUUAUCCCAAGUGCCCAUGAAAAUUAGAUUGGGAUGUAGUCUAUGAAUCCGUACCGAGAACUGACACAGGUGCCCCUAGCUGAGAAGGCUAAGGUGUGUCGGUGUAAUUCAGGCGAGGGAACUCGGCAAAUUAGCCCUGUACCUUAGGUAGAAGGGGUGCCUGCUCUGAGAGAGAGCAGGUCACAGUGACAAGGGGGCUCCGACUGUUUAAUAAAAACACAGGUGACCGCAAGUCCGAAAGGAUGUGUAUGGUCGCUGAAUUCUGCCCAGUGGCGGUAUCUGAAAACCCCGUUCAAGGGGGAGAAGGACCGUUAAACGGCGGGGGUAACUCUGACCCUCUUAAGGUAACGUAAUACCUUGCCGCUUAAUUGGCGGCUUGCAUGAAUGGAGCAACGAGAGCCCUACUGUCCCCGCCUGAAAGCCGGUGAAAUUGACUUACUGGCGCACAGUCCAGUACCUUCUAGAAGGGAGCGAAGACCCCGUGGAGCUUUACUACAGCCUGUCGUUGUGAUGCGGUGAUGGAUGUACAGCGUAGAUGGGAGCCAUCGAAACCCUAGCGCUAGCUAGGGUGGAGGCACCAAUGGAACACCAUCCUUCUUUCGCCACGUCACUAACUAGAAAUAGAACACCGAUAGGUGGGUAGUUUGGGUGGGGCGCCACGCCCUCGAAAAGAUAUCAAGGGCGCCCAAAGGUCACCUCAAGGAGGUCAGAAAUCUCCUGUAGAAUGCAAGGGUAUAAGGUGGCUUUACACGGAUUGGCACAAUAACAAUCCGCGUUGCGAAAGCAAGGCCUAGCGAACCAAUCAACCUCUUUUGUGGGGGUGAUUGAUAACAGAAAAGUUACCCCGGGGAUAACUGAGUUGUCUUCAGCAAGAGCCCAUAUCGACCUGAAGGCUUGCUACUUCGAUGUCGUCUCUCCGCAUCCUGGCGGUGCAGCAGCUGCCAAGGGUGGGGUUGUUCGCCCAUUAAAGCGGAUCGUGAGAUGGGUUUAGACCGUCGUGAGACAGGUUUGUUGCUAUCUUCUAGAAGCGUUGAUGCUUGAAGGGAAAGACCCUUUAGUACGAGAGGAACAGGGGUCUGUAGCCGCUAGUUUACCAGUUGUCCGACAGGGCAAUGCUGGGCAGCCACGCUAUAAGGGAUAAAUGCUGAAAGCAUCUAAGCAUGAAGUCUACCCUAAGACGAGGCAUCAUAGGAUACGAGUAAAAGACUCGUUUGAUAGAGCUGGGGUGUAAGCAAGAAGGCAACGACUUGUUCAGCCCGCAGCCACUAAAAAUCCAUUCAAUUACUGAC